CUGGCUGAUGAGACUAAGGCGAAUGCGAUUCUGUGCUCUCUGGUCAUUGGCUUCUGUGUGCGGAGGUUUCAAAUGGGAUCUGAAAUCUUAGUGGGGUACCUGAGCUUGGCUCCCCACUGUAAGGCAGAUCAAUAGCACUGCUGGCCUUGCCUCCAUUUCUGCUGCUGCCUCCAGUUCCUGGCAGCUGCCUGCAGGGGGGCCCACAGGUGAGGACCAAAGUAAAACUGAGCACGAGCCACCUGAGCGCAACCUUGGAUCUGACA
This is a small nucleolar RNA of Molossus molossus (Pallas's mastiff bat), 263 nucleotides long. Lineage: Eukaryota; Metazoa; Chordata; Mammalia; Chiroptera; Molossidae. The record is from RefSeq and is a predicted model, not a curated record.